Molecule: ribosomal RNA, 484 nt
Filed under: uncultured bacterium
Lineage: Bacteria
Description: partial 16S ribosomal RNA
Rfam family: Bacterial small subunit ribosomal RNA
Source: RNAcentral
GACGAACGCUGGCGGCGUGCUUAACACAUGCAAGUCGAACAGAAAGGCCCUGCUUUUGUGGGGUGCUCGAGUGGCGAACGGGUGAGUAACACGUGAGUAACCUGCCCUUGACUUUGGGAUAACUUCAGGAAACUGGGGCUAAUACCGGAUAGGUGCUCCUGCUGCAUGGUGGGGGUUGGAAAGUUUCGGCGGUUGGGGAUGGACUCGCGGCUUAUCAGCUUGUUGGUGGGGUAGUGGCUUACCAAGGCUUUGACGGGUAGCCGGCCUGAGAGGGUGGCCGGCCACAUUGGGACUGGGAUACGGCCCAGACUCCUACGGGAGGCAGCAGUGGGGAAUAUUGCACAAUGGGCGGAAGCCUGAUGCAGCAACGCCGCGUGCGGGAUGACGGCCUUCGGGUUGUAAACCGCUUUCGCCUGUGACGAAGCGUGAGUGACGGUAAUGGGUAAAGAAGCACCGGCUAUCUACGUGCCAGCAGCCGCCGUAA